UGAGGAGCGAAAGCAUGGGGAGCGAACAGGAUUAGAUACCCUGGUAGUCCAUGCCGUAAACGUUGGGAACUAGAUGUGGGGACCAUUCCACGGUCUCCGUGUCGCAGCUAACGCAUUAAGUUCCCCGCCUGGGGAGUACGGCCGCAAGGCUAAAACUCAAAGGAAUUGACGGGGGCCCGCACAAGCGGCGGAGCAUGCGGAUUAAUUCGAUGCAACGCGAAGAACCUUACCAAGGCUUGACAUAUAGAGGAAACGUCUGGAAACAGUCGCCCCGCAAGGUCUCUAUACAGGUGGUGCAUGGUUGUCGUCAGCUCGUGUCGUGAGAUGUUGGGUUAAGUCCCGCAACGAGCGCAACCCUCGUCCUAUGUUGCCAGCACGUAAUGGUGGGAACUCAUGGGAUACUGCCGGGGUCAACUCGGAGGAAGGUGGGGAUGACGUCAAAUCAUCAUGCCCCUCUAUGUCUUGGGCUUCACGCAUGCUACAAUGGCCGGUACAAAGGGCUGCAAUACCGCAAGGUGGAGCGAAUCCCAMAAAGCCGGUYUCAGUUCGGAUUGAGGUMUGCAACUMGACCUCAUGAAGUMGGAGUCGCUAGUAAUCGCAGAUCAGCAACGYUGCGGUGAAUACGUUCCCGGGCCUYGUACACACCGCCCGUCAAGUCAUGAAAGUCGGUAACACCCGAAGCCAGU
Molecule: ribosomal RNA, 686 nt
Filed under: Cryobacterium psychrotolerans
Lineage: Bacteria; Bacillati; Actinomycetota; Actinomycetes; Micrococcales; Microbacteriaceae
Description: bacterial SSU rRNA
Rfam family: Bacterial small subunit ribosomal RNA
Source: RNAcentral